This 497-nucleotide ribosomal RNA is filed under the name uncultured bacterium. Its description in RNAcentral is "partial 16S ribosomal RNA". It matches the Rfam family "Bacterial small subunit ribosomal RNA", at positions 28 to 507 of the family's 1533-position model. The record is from RNAcentral.
GAUGAACGCUGGCGGCGUGCCUAAUACAUGCAAGUCGAGCGAACAGACGAGGAGCUUGCUCCUUUGACGUUAGAGGCGGACGGGUGAGUAACACGUAGGUAACCUACCUAUAAGACUGGGAUAACUUCGGGAAACCGGAGCUAAGACCGGAUAAUAUUUCGAACCGCAUGGUUCGAUAGUGAAAGAUGGCUUUGCUAUCACUUAUAGAUGGACCUGCGCCGUAUUCGCUAGUUGGUAAGGUAACGGCUUACCAAGGCAACGAUCCGUAGCCGACCUGAGAGGGUGAUCGGCCACACUGGAACUGAGACACGGUCCAGACUCCUACGGGAGGCAGCAGUAGGGAAUCUUCCGCAAAGGGCGAAAGCCUGACGGAGCAACGCCGCGUGAGUGAUGAAGGUCUUCGGAUCGUAAAACUCUGUUAUUAGUGAAGAACAAACGUGUAAGUAACUGUGCACGUCUUGACGGUACCUAAUCAGAAAGCCACGGCUAACUACGUG